AUUGAACGCUGGCGGAAUGCUUUACACACGCAAGUCGAACGGUAGAGGGGGCAACCCCUUGAGAGUGGCGAACGGGUGAGUAAUAUAUCGGAACGUGCCCAGUCGUGGGGAUAACGUAGCGAAAGCUACGCUAAUACCGCAUACGAUCUAUGGAUGAAAGCGGGGGAUCGCAAGACCUCGCGCGAUUGGAGCGGCCGAUAUCAGAUUAGGUAGUUGGUGGGGUAAAGGCUCACCAAGCCAACGAUCUGUAGCUGGUCUGAGAGGACGACCAGCCACACUGGGACUGAGACACGGCCCAGACUCCUACGGAGGCAGCAGUGGGGAAUUUUGGACAAUGGGCGCAAGCCUGAUCCAGCAAUGCCGCGUGCAGGAUGAAGGCC
This 380-nucleotide ribosomal RNA is filed under the name uncultured bacterium. RNAcentral describes it as "bacterial SSU rRNA". It matches the Rfam family "Bacterial small subunit ribosomal RNA", at positions 30 to 416 of the family's 1533-position model. The record is from RNAcentral.